RNAcentral lists this long non-coding RNA (227 nucleotides) under Anser brachyrhynchus (Pink-footed goose). Its description in RNAcentral is "lncRNA (ENSABRG00000011463.1)". The record is from RNAcentral. Lineage: Eukaryota; Metazoa; Chordata; Aves; Anseriformes; Anatidae.
AUGAACUGUUUUAUUUCACGCAAGCCGAACCCAAUACUCCGUUGCCCUGCACACUCAGGGAGAGUGCACCUGGUCUGCAAAAGAGGCAAAAACUCGGUUUCUUUGUUCAGCACGGUAUCCAAGCAUUGGCCUAGCAGUAUUUUCAACAUUUUGCAGCCCCAGGAGUGCUCCUUUUCUUUCUUCCCACUGUCCUGGUUAAAUGUGAGCUCUUUCGCUUGAGUGAAACA